This 467-nucleotide ribosomal RNA is filed under the name uncultured bacterium. Its description in RNAcentral is "partial 16S ribosomal RNA". It matches the Rfam family "Bacterial small subunit ribosomal RNA", at positions 28 to 506 of the family's 1533-position model. The record is from RNAcentral.
GACGAACGCUGGCGGCGUGCUUAACACAUGCAAGUCGAACGGACAGGCCCUGCUUUUGCGGGGUGCUCGAGUGGCGAACGGGUGAGUAACACGUGAGUAACAUGCCCUUGACUUUGGGAUAACUUCAGGAAACUGGGGCUAAUAUAGGAUAUGAGCUACUGAUGCACGGUGGGGGAUGGUAAGUUACGGCGGUUGGGGAUGUACUUGAGGCUUAUGCGCUUGUUGGUGUGGUAGUGGAUUACAAAGGCUAUGACGGGUAGCCAGCCUGAGAGGGUGACCGGCUACAUUGUGACUGGGGUACCACCCGGACUCCUACGUGCGGCAGCAGCGGGGACCAUACCACAAUGCGCGGAGUGCGGAAGGAGCAACUCCGCGUGCGGAAUGUCGGCCUUCGGGUUGGAAACCGCUUUCACCUGUGACGAAGCGUGAGUGACGGUAAUGGGUAAAGAAGCACCGGUUAACUCCGG